CAACACACAAAACAAGCGGUGAGUGCUUUGGGGUGGGGUGACUGCGUACCUUUUGUAUAAUGGGUCAGCGACUUAUAUUCUGUAGCAAGGUUAACCGUAUAGGGGAGCCGAAGGGAAACCGAGUCUUAACUGGGCGUUAAGUUGCAGGGUAUAGACCCGAAACCCGGUGAUCUAGCCAUGGGCAGGUUGAAGGUUGGGUAACACUAACUGGAGGACCGAACCGACUAAUGUUGAAAAAUUAGCGGAUGACUUGUGGCUGGGGGUGAAAGGCCAAUCAAACCGGGAGAUAGCUGGUUCUCCCCGAAAGCUAUUUAGGUAGCGCCUCGUGAACUCAUCUUCGGGGGUAGAGCACUGUUUCGGCUAGGGGGUCAUCCCGACUUACCAACCCGAUGCAAACUGCGAAUACCGAAGAAUGUUAUCACGGGAGACACACGGCGGGUGCUAACGUCCGUCGUGAAGAGGGAAACAACCCAGACCGCCAGCUAAGGUCCCAAAGUCACAGUUAAGUGGGAAACGAUGUGGGAAGGCUCAGACAGCCAGGAUGUUGGCUUAGAAGCAGCCAUCAUUUAAAGAAAGCGUAAUAGCUCACUGGUCGAGUCGGCCUGCGCGGAAGAUGUAACGGGGCUAAACUGUGCACCGAAGCUGCGGCAGCGACGCUUAUGCGUUGUUGGGUAGGGGAGCGUUCUGUAAGCCUGCGAAGGUGUCCUGUGAGGGAUGCUGGAGGUAUCAGAAGUGCGAAUGCUGACAUAAGUAACGAUAA
RNAcentral lists this ribosomal RNA (760 nucleotides) under Salmonella enterica subsp. enterica serovar Kentucky. RNAcentral describes it as "partial 23S ribosomal RNA". It matches the Rfam family "Bacterial large subunit ribosomal RNA", at positions 566 to 1315 of the family's 2925-position model. The record is from RNAcentral. Lineage: Bacteria; Pseudomonadati; Pseudomonadota; Gammaproteobacteria; Enterobacterales; Enterobacteriaceae.